UGACGAUAAUGGCAAACUUAUUGAAAAAUAAGGACGCAAAGCUACGGGUCUAAUAUUAUGUAAAAUAAUGAUGAUCGCCGGGCUACCGAA
This 90-nucleotide non-coding RNA is filed under the name Pelagirhabdus alkalitolerans. Its description in RNAcentral is "c-di-GMP-I riboswitch aptamer". It matches the Rfam family "c-di-GMP-I riboswitch aptamer". Rfam says of the family: GEMM was predicted in a large-scale screen for bacterial structured RNA regulatory elements. Genes associated with GEMM are involved in a diverse array of functions, including chemotaxis regulation, signal transduction, secretion and chitin. The record is from Rfam by way of RNAcentral. Lineage: Bacteria; Bacillati; Bacillota; Bacilli; Caryophanales; Bacillaceae.